CAUCCUAAGGAUAUAUAACGAGCAAUUUGGAAAAAUAAAUUUGUCGGUUUCUUAUACGGUUGCGAAGUAGUAGUGGCCACAAGAAAAACAGUGUUUGGGGAGAUAACUCUUACAAGGUAAAGGUUUUUGUUACGCGGUGUCAGUUUCAGAAGCGCAUUAACUGUUCGAUAUCAUAUACCAAAUAUCUAAGCGACAUCUUGUGAAACAAAAAAACAGCGAAGGAAAAAAAAGUUGGCGGAAGAAAAAAAAAA
RNAcentral lists this long non-coding RNA (251 nucleotides) under Mytilus galloprovincialis (Mediterranean mussel). Lineage: Eukaryota; Metazoa; Mollusca; Bivalvia; Mytilida; Mytilidae. The record is from RNAcentral.